CUACGGGGCGCUGCAGUGGGGGAUAUUGCACAAUGGAGGAAACUCUGGUGCAGCAACGCCGCGUGAGGGAAGAAGGUCUUCGGAUUGUAAACCUUUGUUUUUGGUGACGAAUAAAUGACGGUAGCCAAAGAGGAAGCCACGGCUAACUACGUGCCAGCAGCCGCGGUAAUACGUAGGUGGCAAGCGUUGUCCGGAUUUACUGGGUGUAAAGGGAGCGCAGGCGGGACAGCAAGUUGGAUGUGAAAUACCGGAGCUUAACUCCGGAGCUGCAUCCAAAACUGUUGUUCUUGAGUGAAGUAGAGGUUGGCGGAAUUCCGAGUGUAGCGGUGAAAUGCGUAGAUAUUCGGAGGAACACCAGUGGCGAAGGCGGCCAACUGGGCUUUAACUGACGCUGAGGCUCGAAAGCAUGGGGAGCAAACAGGAUUAGAUACCCUCAUAGUC
RNAcentral lists this ribosomal RNA (441 nucleotides) under uncultured bacterium. Its description in RNAcentral is "partial 16S ribosomal RNA". It matches the Rfam family "Bacterial small subunit ribosomal RNA", at positions 339 to 795 of the family's 1533-position model. The record is from RNAcentral.